CUUAGAUUGCUGAGAUAGAGAGCUAUUCCACUCCUCUAGACGUUCCAACCGAGCUUCAACCAUCCGGCCCGAACUCUCCAGCAAGUCAUGACAACAGACACCACUUUACUCUUUGUAACAGACUCCACGUGGCCCCACCACUCUCCGACAAGUUGCGACAAUGGAUACCACUUCACUCUCUGUAACAGACUCCACAUGGCCCCACCA
RNAcentral lists this long non-coding RNA (207 nucleotides) under Elaeis guineensis (African oil palm). RNAcentral describes it as "long non-coding RNA (EGUI_LNC067689)". The record is from RNAcentral. Lineage: Eukaryota; Viridiplantae; Streptophyta; Magnoliopsida; Arecales; Arecaceae.